UCCUCGGUAGCUCAAUGGCAGAGCGGGUGGCUGUUAACCACUAGGUUGGGGGUUCGAAUCCCUCCCGAGGAGCCA
RNAcentral lists this transfer RNA (75 nucleotides) under Candidatus Aminicenantota bacterium. RNAcentral describes it as "Candidatus Aminicenantes bacterium tRNA-Asn". It matches the Rfam family "tRNA". Rfam says of the family: Transfer RNA (tRNA) molecules are approximately 80 nucleotides in length. Their secondary structure includes four short double-helical elements and three loops (D, anti-codon, and T loops). The record is from RNAcentral. Lineage: Bacteria; Candidatus Aminicenantota.